GUGGGGUAAUGGCCCACCAAGGCAGCGACGGGUAGCUGGUCUGAGAGGAUGUCCAGCCACACUGGGACUGAGACACGGCCCAGACUCCUACGGGAGGCAGCAGCUAGGAAUCUUGCGCAAUGGACGAAAGUCUGACGCAGCGACGCCGCGUGCGGGAUGAAGGCCUUAGGGUCGUAAACCGCUUUCAGCAGGGACGAAAUUGACGGUACCUGCAGAAGAAGCCCCGGCCAACUACGUGCCAGCAGCCGCGGUAAUACGUAGGGGGCGAGCGUUGUCCGGAUUUAUUGGGCGUAAAGAGCUCGUAGGCGGUUUGGUAAGUCGGACGUGAAAUCUCCAGGCUCAACUUGGAGGGGUCAUUCGAUACUGCCAUGACUAGAGUUCGGUAGGGGAAUGUGGAAUACCUGGUGGAGCGGUGAAAUGCGCAGAUAUCAGGUGGAACACCCGUAGCGAAGGCGGCAUUCUGGGCCGAUACUGACGCUGAGGAGCGAAAGCGUGGGGAGCGAACAGGAUUAGAUACCCUGGUAGUCCACGCCGUAAACGUUGGGCACUAGGUGUGGGGUUCUAUCGACGGAUUCCGUGCCGUAGCUAACGCAUUAAGCG
RNAcentral lists this ribosomal RNA (600 nucleotides) under uncultured Actinomycetes bacterium. RNAcentral's name for it is "bacterial SSU rRNA". It matches the Rfam family "Bacterial small subunit ribosomal RNA", at positions 252 to 866 of the family's 1533-position model. Lineage: Bacteria; Bacillati; Actinomycetota; Actinomycetes. The record is from RNAcentral.